UGAGACAGUGUGUCCUCCCUCU
RNAcentral lists this microRNA (22 nucleotides) under Capitella teleta. Its description in RNAcentral is "cte-miR-1994". The record is from miRBase by way of RNAcentral. Lineage: Eukaryota; Metazoa; Annelida; Polychaeta; Capitellidae.